Molecule: ribosomal RNA, 301 nt
Filed under: uncultured bacterium
Lineage: Bacteria
Description: partial 16S ribosomal RNA
Rfam family: Bacterial small subunit ribosomal RNA
Source: RNAcentral
CAGUCGCCGCGGUAAUGCGUAGGUGGCAAACGUUGUCCGGAAUUAUUGGGCGUAAAGGGCUCGCAGGCGGUUUCUUAAGUCUGAUGUGAAAGCCCCCGGCUCAACCGGGGAGGGUCAUUGGAAACUGGGAAACUUGAGUGCAGAAGAGGAGAGUGGAAUUCCACGUGUAGCGGUGAAAUGCGUAGAGAUGUGGAGGAACACCAGUGGCGAAGGCGACUCUCUGGUCUGUAACUGACGCUGAGGAGCGAAAGCGUGGGGAGCGAACAGGAUUAGAUACCCGCGUAGCCCUGUCUCUUAUACA